GAUGAAGAACGCAGCGAAAUGCGAUACUUGGUGUGAAUUGCAGAAUCCCGUGAACCAUCGAGUCUUUGAACGCAAGUUGCGCCCGAAGCCAUUAGGCCGAGGGCACGCCUGCCUGGGCGUCACACGUCGUUGCCCCCCCAUCUACUCCUUCGGGAUUGCGGGGGGCGGAUGAUGGCCUCCCGUGCGCCUCGCCGCGCGGUUGGCAUAAAUGCCAAGUCCUCGGCGACGCACGCCACGACAAUCGGUGGUUGCGAAACCUCGGUUGCCCGUCGUGUGCGGUCGUCGCGCAUCGAGGGCUCGAAAAAAUUGCCGGGUUCCGGCUCGGCUUUCAACGCGACCCCAGGUCAGGCGGGGUUACCCGCUGAAUUUAAGCAUAUCAGUAAGCGGAGGA
This 391-nucleotide unclassified non-coding RNA is filed under the name soil metagenome. RNAcentral describes it as "partial contains 5.8S ribosomal RNA, internal transcribed spacer 2, and large subunit ribosomal RNA". The stretch from base 1 to 122 matches the Rfam family "5.8S ribosomal RNA", at positions 35 to 154 of the family's 154-position model. The record is from RNAcentral.